Hippocampus zosterae (dwarf seahorse) is the source of this 346-nucleotide long non-coding RNA. RefSeq lists it as uncharacterized. The transcript has 2 exons. Lineage: Eukaryota; Metazoa; Chordata; Actinopteri; Syngnathiformes; Syngnathidae. The record is from RefSeq and is a predicted model, not a curated record.
CGCACACAGGAAAUGAGCGCCAUCAGGAGGUGCGUGCACGUGAAGGCUGAGCAGGUGAGCGAUCAAGCGCACCUCAGUGAAGUUGAUCUUGUCCCCUUUGAACAUGCUCUCCCGGGCCUGCUUGACUCCUCUGGACUCCGCCUGUCCCAGGUGGAGGGUCACAUGACAGGGCAAAGUCAGGUCAAUAGAACACAGAUCUUUGUAGGCAUGUGUCUACAGUAGCGCUAAGCUAGUGGGGGCAAAGUUGUCAACGCCAGCAGGGAUGACAAUUACGACUAGGACGUUUCACAGCGAAAACAAAAACGCGUGGGACCGUUUGAUGUUCUGCAUUGAUACCACACGGAGA